GAUGAACGCUAGCUACAGGCUUAACACAUGCAAGUCGAGGGGCAUCAGUUUGGUUUGCUUGCAAACCAAAGCUGGCGACCGGCGCACGGGUGAGUAACACGUAUCCAACCUGCCUCAUACUCGGGGAUAGCCUUUCGAAAGAAAGAUUAAUAUCCGAUAGCAUAUAUUUCCCGCAUGGGUUUUAUAUUAAAGAAAUUCGGUAUGAGAUGGGGAUGCGUUCCAUUAGUUUGUUGGGGGGGUAACGGCCCACCAAGACUACGAUGGAUAGGGGUUCUGAGAGGAAGGUCCCCCACAUUGGAACUGAGACACGGUCCAAACUCCUACGGGAGGCAGCAGUGAGGAAUAUUGGUCAAUGGACGCGAGUCUGAACCAGCCAAGUAGCGUGAAGGAUGACUGCCCUAUGGGUUGUAAACUUCUUUUAUAUGGGAAUAAAGUUGUCCACGUGUGGAUUUUUGUAUGUACCAUAUGAAUA
RNAcentral lists this ribosomal RNA (472 nucleotides) under uncultured bacterium. Its description in RNAcentral is "bacterial SSU rRNA". It matches the Rfam family "Bacterial small subunit ribosomal RNA", at positions 28 to 488 of the family's 1533-position model. The record is from RNAcentral.